This 229-nucleotide unclassified non-coding RNA is filed under the name uncultured Mycena. Its description in RNAcentral is "sequence contains ITS1". The record is from RNAcentral. Lineage: Eukaryota; Fungi; Basidiomycota; Agaricomycetes; Agaricales; Tricholomataceae.
UUGAAUAACUUGGUGCUGAGCUGGCCCUACUCGGGCAUGUGCUUGCAUCAUAUUAUUUAUCUAUCUCUUGUGCACCUUUUGUAGUCUUUGAAGCGUUCGCAGUCAAUGCGGUUUUGGGUCUUGGGCUUUGCUGCCCUUGUCCCUGUUCUGCUUCAAAGGCUAUGUUUUCAUACACACUAUUUGAAGUUACAGAAUGUCUCUUAUUGACUUUCAAGUCAGUAAAUCUAUA